GUGAGGAAUAUUGGUCAAUGGGCGAGAGCCUGAACCAGCCAAGCCGCGUGAAGGACUAAGGCCCUAUGGGUCGUAAACUUCUUUUGUCGGGGAACAAAGAUGCGGACGAGUCCGCAGUUGCGUGUACCCGAAGAAAAAGCAUCGGCUAACUCCGUGCCAGCAGCCGCGGUAAUACGGAGGAUGCGAGCGUUAUCCGGAUUUAUUGGGUUUAAAGGGUGCGUAGGUGGCUUGGUAAGUCAGCGGUAAAAUUUCGGGGCUUAACCUCGUUUAGCCGUUGAAACUGUCGAGCUCGAGAGGGAGAGAAGUAGGCGGAAUGCGCAGUGUAGCGGUGAAAUGCAUAGAUAUUGCGCAGAACUCCGAUUGCGAAGGCAGCCUACCGGCUUCUAUCUGACACUGAGGCACGAAAGCGUGGGGAUCAAACAGGAUUAGAAACCCUAGUAGUCC
Molecule: ribosomal RNA, 444 nt
Filed under: uncultured bacterium
Lineage: Bacteria
Description: bacterial SSU rRNA
Rfam family: Bacterial small subunit ribosomal RNA
Source: RNAcentral